This 6771-nucleotide long non-coding RNA is filed under the name Sorghum bicolor (sorghum). RNAcentral's name for it is "long non-coding RNA (SBIC_LNC010714)". Lineage: Eukaryota; Viridiplantae; Streptophyta; Magnoliopsida; Poales; Poaceae. The record is from RNAcentral.
GCAUCAUUUGUGGUGUACUCUUAUCACGUGGUUCGUCCCAGACAUAGACAUACCCCUUUGAAGUAGAGAAACCAUAGUUAUCCUAUCUAUUCUGCUACCAUCGCCCAUAUACUAGAAUUGCUCUAUUCUCUAUUCCCAUAUUAUCACUCACUGUUAUCUUACCUUUAAUAUUGUUCUUAUUCGAUUCUACCAUCUUUCCUAUUUACACUUAUCUAUUUAUCUUAGUUAAGUUAGAGCGUAGUUGGUUCUCCCGUUUCCCUGUGGAUACGAUAAAACCUUUAACCGGGUAAAAGCUUCAACGGUAUCCGCGCGCUUGCGGAUUAUCUAUGUGCGUAUAAAUACCAUAGUACACUCUAGUGUCAUGCUGGGGAUGACAACCUAGUAUUCAAGUGGUGUUAGCAAGUGUCAACAAGCAUUUUUGGCACCGUUGCCGGGGAAACGGUUGCUGAGUUGACUACGAACUAGCUUAAUCAUUUUCUAAAAAAAUAAAAUUAUAUAUAUAUAUAAUUUCCUUUUAUCCUUUGCCUCAUCUCUGCUAAUCUUUCUUCUUAUCUAAUCCUUGAUCUCUGGUCUAUCAUGAAUUCAAACAUGUCUAUCUAUGAAUUUCAUAGACCUACGGGCACACAUCUCGAACCACCAAAAUCUUCAAAGCCUACCAUAGCAUCUAGUUUUGAGAUAGACCCCGAAUACAUAGAAUUUGUUCAAAAACAACCUUUCUCAGGAGAAGGUGAGGAAAACCCAUACACACACCUAAGAGAGUUUUAUCGAGUCUGUGACCUCCUUCGCAUAGAAGGAAUGUCCGAUGAGACCCUCAAAUGGAAGCUCUUUCCGUUCUCUUUAACGGGAAAAGCUAGACAUUGGUACAAACUCAAAGUAGGGAGUGUUCAUGGAGAUUGGAAGGAGUUACAUAAUAGUUUUCUUUUAAAAUAUUUUCCAAUCUCUAAAGUGGCGGAACUUCGGUGUGAGAUUAUUUCUUUUCAACAACUGGAAGAAGAAUGUCUUGGCAAAUCAUGGGACCGCUUUAUUAACCUUACUCUCACUGGCCCAAAGCUUUCUAUUCCAGAAGAAGUUCUUCUAAUUCACUUUUUUGAGGGCCUUAGUGGGGAAAAUAAGCAAACCUUGAAUACAUCCUCUAGAGGAUCCUUCUAUCACCUACCUGCUAGUGAAGCUUGGAAUUUGAUUGAUUUAUUAAGUGGAAAGUCUCCUAGCUUAUAUAUCCCUAAGAAAGAGACAGAACCAGUUCCUAGACAAGAAGAAGAAGUUUCGAUAGCCAGAUCACAACCACUUCAAUUCCAAACUUUAGCUAUCGAUCCUAAACCAUCAAUACCCCAAAAUUCUCCAAGGGAGGAAGGAAUUCCAACCUUAAAUCUUUCAGAUGCUGAUGGUUUAGACUUCUGGUUCCAUAAGAGACCAUCAAGCAGGGAUAAUUCAAAUCCUCGCAAUAAUGGUUCUCUUAGAGAAUGUCCUGGUUCCUAUUAUGAAGAAGUCGAGGAUGACAUAUCAAGUGAAGGAGAGCUAAGCCAUAUUGAAAAUUCUAACACCUCCCCUUUCCUGAUCACAAGUUCUAAAUGGCUAGAAUGUGUAGAAUGGAUGGAUAAGGAAGAAGCCUUAAUGAAUUCUGACUUUGGUUCAAUUUCAAAUGGUGAGUUCUUGACUCCCUUUGAAGAUGGGAUUCAUCCAACUAUAGAAGAGGACAUAAGUGAGACCAAUCCAAGAGGAACUCUGAACAUUCCGAUUGUAGACGAAGAUAACAUUAAUGAGCAUGGAAUUUAUUUCAUAGCUAUUUUGUUUACUCCAUGCUCAUAUGCAACAUCUUCCCAAUCUAUUGGUCUCUCCAACAUCACCACAUUUGAGAUCUCCAACCCCCUCUUCCUUUCUAUUUAUAAAAACUUUAAAAGGGUGGUUGUCGAUGCAUAUGUCUAUAAUAAAUAUUGCAGAUCUCGUUGAGUUGAUCUUGAUUUAGGUCAGCGUUGGAAGGGAAACCACUUCGCCGACAUAAAUUGAUGGUUUCCCAAGGACAAGCUUAGUGUCCUAAAAUAAGCACUGAUCAGAUCGUAACAUGAGUUUUUAAUUAUUUGCAACAUUACCUUGUGUAUUGAGGAUAUAAGGAUAAUUGUAAAAAUAUUCCUUCGGGUAUUCUUGUCACUAACCUUUACAGGAUUGGAGCAAGAAGAUCGGAUGAAUGACAAGCGCAAGGUAUGUCCAAUCAAUCAUCAUACAACAUUGAAUUAAAUUCAUCCAAACUUGAAUUCUGCAAAAUUCAAGCUUGGAGGAGUACUUUACAUAAAAACAUCCUUUGCCAUGUUGCUAUAUUGGUUGUCCCCACCUUUAAGACAUGCUCAAUUUGUUAAAUACUAAUCACACUACUUCAUCUCCACUUGAGUAGAUCUCUAUAAAUGCUGUCAUGUUACCUUUGUCCAUUUACUAGUAAGUGUUAGUUUGGAAGUACUGCACAUACUUCUAUUGGCCUUUAAAUUAAGCAUGGUGCUUAGGUUAAACAGCCUUCCUUAAUCUGAUUAGACAUGGAGUCUAGUUCAGUUAUUGAACUAAAAACUGCUUGUGUAGACAUUGGUAUAUUUUUGUCGGACUAACCCCUGCAGAAAAACUUUCAAUAUCGAUUUGGGAAGUCCUGAGAUAAACUCACAUCAGAGACGAAGAGAGUGACACAUGAAGUUUAACAAUUUGCACAAGAAGGACAUAGCUCAUUCAUCAUAGAGAGAUGAUCCAUGGAGGGUGCCACAAACACGAUGCACAACCGCUAAGGAAGGAAAGCUUCCACAAGGUGAUACUGUACCAUCACUCUUCAAGCAAGGUAACAUCUUAAGGUACUUGACUAUCACUUUUAUAAGCUUCUCCUUGGUUCUAGCGUUCAUAUAAAUAAAAGAGACAAACAUGUAUGAUUUACAACUCUAGAUUAACCAACCCAACUGAUUCAACAUGUUUAGUCCUUUAAUCCUUGUUCUUAGUACUACCUCCAUAACCCCACACUCCUAAUCAUAUGAGGUAAAAUGUUACACAUUCAAUCAUUCAGAGAUAUAAAGAAAAAGACAUAUACAUAGAUAGAUUAUCUUUCCAUAAGGUUCAGCGAUCUGAUCUGACAAAUAUUAUAAGUGCUACACUCAUGAACUUUUCAUCCAUCAACUUUGUCUUGCUCACUAUGCUUAGGGUUAGAGAAGAACAAAUACACUUUAGGUUCUGUUGGUGUUUUCCACCAACAGGACCCAUGCACUUGAUCUCUGCCUUGUUUCUAUGAGCAGGUACACUUCGAGCAAAACACGGACGAGUUUUAUAACUCUCAGACUCUACCAAGUAAAGGACCUAGAUCUAUGGGUGACACCGUAUUAAGAGGUGCAGACGUCAAGGUCCACACCUGAAUCAAAUGACGCACCUGAAGAAUGAACACGGUGAGAAGUCUUGUUAAGAAGACUUAAAACAUUGAACCCUCGUUGAAAGGUAAGAUCGGUAGUUAUCCAUAUUUAUCCUUUCUGCAUUCCCUUUUUCCUUUAAUGAUUUACUUUCCUUAAAUAGAUUAUUAGUUAAUCAUGCUAUCUUGAAAAGAAAAUAAAAUUUUUUAAAAAAUACUAAGCCCCAUGUGAGUACACGAGUGGCAUAAAACCCAUAAGUACCUUCACUGUGGUGGCAUAAAAAUAAAAUAAAUAUUUCUUUUCUGCUUUAUAAAAUAAAAAUAUAAAAACAGGGAGUAAUAUUUAUUGAGGAAGCUCAACAUGAUGAAGGCUAGAUAUUUAUGCUAACACUUAAUUAGUUCCACAAGCUUUGCUGUCUAUUUGAGUUCCACAGAAUUUAAGAAUCAAAAAGACUAGCAGACGGAGGACAUUCUAAUCGCUGUCCGAAUGCUGCUGACUUUCAAAUACACCUCUGCCACCUGCUAGCUACAUCAAGAGAAAUUACGUCAAAAUUCAGCUUGGGGAAGAGCACCCCCAUUUAUCUCGCUAAGUAUUUCUACCUAUCUUUAUACUUAUAUUAUAUUAGAAUAUUAAAAUACAUAAACUAUGAAAAACCAAAUAAAGAUUUUGUGCUUAUAUAUAUAUCUUUUGCUUAAUGUGUUUAAUAAAUAAAUAAAGUGGCUAUGCUAAUCUGAAUCUUAAUAAUAAAACUGUAGCAUGGAUAUGAUGAAUAGUUGCUCUGCCUAAUUUGCAAAUUUGAAGUUCUCUCUCAAGUUUAGACAUAACUGUUAUAAUUUAAAGUUUGCUCUAGAUCUAAACUUGUGGGUUGAAAACUUGAUCUGAAAUCUAAGUUGUUAACGGAUAUGAUGUGGGAAGGUUGAGCUGCUGUUUAUCUGUUCCUAGAGAUGCUAGAAUUCUGGAGAAUUUUAUCUUUGAAAAAUCUUUAACAUAUUGCAUGAUGAGUUCCUGUAUGAUGAGAGUUUAAAUUCCUACCACAGCCAUAUAUACAUGCUUGCUAGACUUUGGGCCACACAUUUAUUAUUUACUGCUUAUGAGCAUUGAGUGUGGUCAAGCUGUGUAGACCCUUAGGAGCUUGUCAUGUGGUUAAAUCAAGAUUCACUUGCACAUUCACUCAUAUAUGCUACUUCUACUCCGGAAGUACCAUCCACAUAUAUCCAUCCAUGUCCAUCUCCAGAACCACCCAAAAAUAUUCUACUCCUAAUCCGGGAGAGAAUAGCCAAAAAUAUUUCUGUUUUCCCUUGUGAAACAAAUGCUCAAGUUAUCUUGCUACUACCACUUGCUAUAUUAUCUCAAGAGAUGAGUGCUCUGAAAAAAAAGAAAAAAGAAAAAAAGAAAAAAAAUAAUAAAUGAGGAAAUAAAAAGGGGCAAGUGCUCGGAACCUCAAAAGAAAGAAAAAGUGAGACGAGAGGUAAAAAUGGACAAGUGUCCGACAGUAGAAUUAGGGGUACAAGAUACCCACCUGAGAGGAAAGAAAAAGAAGAGCAUCUCAUUCUCCUCAUAAAGUUUCAAAAAGUAAGGAACGUAUGUAUCCCCUCAAAAGAGCAAAAGUAGAAUUAGACUUCCACCAUUAUUAUCACCAUCAUCACCAUACACCAUUCAUUCGCCACACAUGCACAUCUUGAUUUGACUUAUUGACUUGUUUCUCUGGAUCCAUGGAUUGACUAUGCAAUAAAUGUCUUGUAAGUAUGUAUUAGCUGUCUCCCACCUAUGAGCUCCAGAUAUUAAAGCCUUAUUAGAGUAGCGUGAGAGAGAAGGCAAUGUCACUAUGCCUUAUACCACAAAUACCACAUAUCUUGAGAGAAGGCAUAUACCAUCACUGCCUUGGUAAGGAUCCAAAAAUACCACAAAAGAGAGAUUUAGAGAGUCAUACAAGGAAUCUCUGAGUUUUAUUUGAAAAUCUGCAAAAACUCAAGAGCUAUAGCUGAUCAAGAAUAAGAGACAUGGCACUUGGCUAGACUGUUCUAUCUUUUAACUACUCAAGACAGAAGUGGCGGUUACAAGUCCCAUGGUGAAAGGUAAAGUAAGUAAGUUUUAGUUCUUGACAGUUUACUCUAACUCAGAGAUGAGAUCUUAUUUAAAAACAUGUGUACCGUCAAAUUUUUAAGAUAUUGCAACAACUUCUGAUCCAUGCUGAGUCUAUCCUUGCUCAGGGACGAGCAAGAGGUAAGCUUGGGGGAGUUGUUGACGGUCCUUAAGUACCAAAUAUAAUAAGCAAAUAAACAAAGAAAAGGAUCCAAAUACAACCAACAUCUAAAUUUAGGGUUUUAUCUAACAGAAUUCCAUGAGUUUUGGUGUUUGUCUAUUUCUGCAGGGGGUUAUCAGGAAAUAAGAAAGAAAGGCCCACACGUCGGGUUUACAUAGAGAUAUUAACGUGCCGUGCAAUUUUCUACCAUCUAGAAGACUCCAGAAGCCACGGGAACGAACGGGAGGCCGAUCGGGCCCGGGGGCAGGGCGCCCGCCCAAGUCCCUUGGGUGCCCGCCCAGCUACAGUAACCAAUCAGCUUCAACUUCGCGGAUCAUGCUCCACCGACCUAAUACUUCAAGGAAAACCACACGAUCAAUGUCGGUUUGAUCCGAUGGCCCAGAUUCAUCUAAAAAGACUAUAUAACCAGACCCCCUGGCCCCUGGAGGAGGCACUCCUCGAUCAUUAUUCAUUAUUCAUAGACAGAGCAAAAGCUAGGGUUUAGAGAUGAGAGCUCUCCUCUCUUCUCUAAACUAGAGUAGAUCUAGAUAGUAGCAAGAUGGAGAGCGAAGGAGGAUUAGAGGAGAGGUCGGCCUGUCGGUUCUUCCUCCGGUUGUACUUCGUCAUGAUCAAGCUCUAAUCAAGCUUGCUCAUGGGAUGACUCUGGUAAUCUACUUCUAAUUCAUUAUGCAAUUACUAAUUAUGUUUGUUCUGGUUCACAACUCUUUUGAGUACUUUAAUCUAUAGGACGCUAUAGGUGAGAGUUGUAGUAUAGGUGUAAGCGUGGUGCUUAGACUUAGAUUACUUGUGGAUAUCCCCUGUCUAGCUGGAUCGUGUGAUAGGCCACAUAGGUGACAGUUACGUUGGUCCUCUGUAGUCCACCUCUCGUUAGCAGGACGGGUAGGGUUUAUCGGCCUAAGGAUAAGCAUCCUUUGUAGUGUACUCUUAUCACGUGGUUCGUCCCAGACAUAGACAUACCCCUUUGAAGUAGAGAAACCAUAGUUAUCCUCUCUAUUCUGCUACCAUCGCCCAUAUACUAGAAUUGCUCUAUUCUCUAUUCCCAUAUUAUCACUCACUAUUAUUUUACCUUUAAUAUUGUUCUUAUUCGAUUCUACCAUCUUUCCUAUUUACACUUAUCUAUUUAUCUUGGUUAAGUUAGAGCGU